This is a non-coding RNA of Pelobates cultripes (western spadefoot toad), 322 nucleotides long. The record is from the annotation of a GenBank genome assembly. Lineage: Eukaryota; Metazoa; Chordata; Amphibia; Anura; Pelobatidae.
GGUGACUAGUGACAGAGGGAAGGAAGGGGUGACUAGUGACAGAGUGAGGGAGGGAGUGGGUGACCAGUGACAGAGGGAGGGGGUGACACAGUGAGGGAGGUGGUGACUAGUGACAGAGUGAGGGAGGUGGUGACUGUCACUAGUCACUAGUCACCACCUCCCUCCCUCUGUCCCUAGUCACCCCUCCCUCUGUCACUAGUCACCCCCUUCCUCACUCUGUCACUAGUCACCCCUUCCCUCCCUAACGCUGUCAACUAGUCACCACUUCCCUCCCUCACUCUGUCACUAGUCACACCCUCCCUCACUGUCACUAGAGUGAGGG